This is a long non-coding RNA of Zingiber officinale, 198 nucleotides long. RefSeq lists it as uncharacterized. The record is from RefSeq and is a predicted model, not a curated record. NCBI's taxonomy places the organism in Eukaryota, Viridiplantae, Streptophyta, Magnoliopsida, Zingiberales, Zingiberaceae. The transcript has 3 exons.
UGCAGUCCAACAUGUUAUUAUGCCAAAACACCACCACCUCUACAUCAACUACAUUUCUCCAAAUUUCAGCUAUCAACCCUGUUUUACGUCUUCUACAGAAUGUUGGAAAAGGUUGACAUGGAAGAAUCAGCAAGUGAGAAAAAGGAGUCCAAUGAAAUUCUACAAGUUGAAGAUUUUGAUGGGGCUUGAGUUGACAAU